CUCAUAAUCCACACAGUCAAAGGCUUUGUUGUCAUCUAUGAAGCAUAGACUGAGCUUCUUCUAAAAUUCUUUGGUUCGCUCCAAUAGCCAGCCAUUAUUUGCAAUAUGGUCUCAAGUGCCUUUUCCUAAAACUGGACCCACAAUUUCAAUGGAGGCAUGAAGGGUUUAUUAAAUUCCCCACCAAAACCAUUUAAGGACACAAUGCUUUCUUUGAGUUGUGAUGGCUGAGGGCCCAUAGGAUUCCAUGGAAGCCCAGAUUGGAAACACCUAUCAACUGAUUGUGUAUCUCCAUGUCAAGGUAAUACUAUUCAGGUACUGAUGAAUCUUGUCUGUUAACCGGGCUUAGAGGAGAGCUCCUAGCCCUGCUCCCUGUCAAUGCAAUGAUGAAGGAGCCUGAAGAG
RNAcentral lists this long non-coding RNA (401 nucleotides) under Pogona vitticeps (central bearded dragon). RNAcentral describes it as "lncRNA (ENSPVIG00000018167.1)". Lineage: Eukaryota; Metazoa; Chordata; Lepidosauria; Squamata; Agamidae. The record is from RNAcentral.